RNAcentral lists this ribosomal RNA (1485 nucleotides) under uncultured bacterium. RNAcentral's name for it is "16S ribosomal RNA". It matches the Rfam family "Bacterial small subunit ribosomal RNA". The record is from RNAcentral.
CAGAGUUUGAUCCUGGCUCAGGAUGAACGCUGGCGGCGUGCCUAACACAUGCAAGUCGAACGAGGUAUAUCGGAUUGAGAUUCGUCGAAGGAAGAUAUACCGAGUGGCGGAUGGGUGAGUAACGCGUGGAGAACCUGCCCUAUGCAGGGGGAUAACAGCUGGAAACGGCUGACAAUACCGCAUAAGCGCACGAUGCCGCAUGGCAUAGAGCGAAAAGAUUUAUCGGCAUAGGAUGGCUCCGCGUCGGAUUAGCCAGUUGGCGGGGUAACGGCCCACCAAAGCGACGAUCCGUAGCCGGCCUGAGAGGGCGACCGGCCACAUUGGGACUGAGACACGGCCCAGACUCCUACGGGAGGCAGCAGUGGGGGAUAUUGCACAAUGGGCGCAAGCCUGAUGCAGCGACGCCGCGUGGAGGAUGAAGUAUUUCGGUAUGUAAACUCCUUUCGGCAGGGAAGAAAACGACGGUACCUGCAGAAGAAGCCCCGGCUAACUACGUGCCAGCAGCCGCGGUAAUACGUAGGGGGCAAGCGUUAUCCGGAUUCACUGGGUGUAAAGGGAGCGUAGACGGACUGUCAAGCCAGAUGUGAAAAUCCGGGGCUCAACCCCGGACCUGCAUUUGGAACUGAUGGACUGGAGUACCGGGUGGGCAGGCGGAAUUCCUGGUGUAGCGGUGAAAUGCGUAGAUAUCAGGAGGAACACCGGUGGCGAAGGCGGCCUGCUGGACGGAUACUGACGUUGAGGCUCGAAAGCGUGGGGAGCAAACAGGAUUAGAUACCCUGGUAGUCCACGCGGUAAACGAUGAAUAUUAGGUGUCAGGGCGCAAAGCGCCGUGGUGCCGAAGCGAACGCAUUAAAUAUUCCACCUGGGGAGUACGUCCGCAAGAAUGAAACUCAAAGGAAUUGACGGGGACCCGCACAAGCGGUGGAGCAUGUGGUUUAAUUCGAUGCAACGCGAAGAACCUUACCAAGCCUUGACAUCCCGGUGAAAGAUCCGUAAUGGGAUCCCCUCUUCGGAGCGCCGGAGACAGGUGGCGCAUGGUUGUCGUCAGCUCGUGUCGUGAGAUGUUGGGUCAAGUCCCGCAACGAGCGCAACCCUUGCUUCAUGUAGCCAGCAGGAAAGCUGGGCACUCAUGAAGGACAGCCGGGGACAACCCGGAGGAAGGUGGGGAUGACGUCAAAUCAUCAUGCCCCUUAUGGCUUGGGCUACACACGUGCUACAAUGGCGCAUACAAAGGGAAGCGAGCCCGCGAGGGUAAGCGAAUCUCAGAAAAGGCGUCCCAGUUCGGACUGCAGGCUGCAACCCGCCUGCACGAAGCUGGAAUCGCUAGUAAUCGCGGAUCAGAAUGCCGCGGUGAAUACGUUCCCGGGUCUUGUACACACCGCCCGUCACACCAUGGGAGCCGGUAACACCCGAAGCCUGUGACCCAACGAAAGAGGGAGCAGUCGAAGGUGGGACCGAUGACUGGGGUGAAGUCGUAACAAGGUA